AAUUGGAGGGCAAGUCUGGUGCCAGCAGCCGCGGUAAUUCCAGCUCCAAUAGCGUAUAUUAAAGUUGUUGCAGUUAAAAAGCUCGUAGUUGAAUUUCGGGGUUAGUAGGUUGGUCAUGCCUCUGGUAUGUACUGGUCUCACUGAUUCCUCCUUCCUUAUGAACCGUAAUGCCAUUAAUUUGGUGUUGCGGGGAAUUUGGACUGUUACUUUGAAAAAAUUAGAGUGUUUAAAGCAAGCUAACGCUUGAAUACAUUAGCAUGGAAUAAUGAAAUAGGACGUUCGAUCUUAUUUUGUUGGUUUCUAGGAUUGACGUAAUGAUUAAUAGGGAUAGUUGGGGGCAUUAGUAUUCAAUUGUCAGAGGUGAAAUUCUUGGAUUUAUUGAAGACUAACUACUGCGAAAGCAUUUGCCAAGGAUGUUUUCAUUAAUCAAGAACGAAAGUUAGGGGAUCGAAGACGAUCAGAUACCGUCGUAGUCUUAACCAUAAACUAUGCCGACUAGGGAUCGGAUGAUGUUAUUUUUAAUGACUCAUUCGGCGCCUUACGGGAAACCAAAGUGU
RNAcentral lists this ribosomal RNA (557 nucleotides) under uncultured Glomus. Its description in RNAcentral is "SSU rRNA". It matches the Rfam family "Eukaryotic small subunit ribosomal RNA", at positions 546 to 1106 of the family's 1831-position model. Lineage: Eukaryota; Fungi; Glomeromycota; Glomeromycetes; Glomerales; Glomeraceae. The record is from RNAcentral.